CCCAGACUCCUACGGGAGGCAGCAGUGAGGAAUAUUGGUCAAUGGGCGGGAGCCUGAACCAGCCAAGUCGCGUGAGGGAUGACGGUCCUAUGGAUUGUAAACCUCUUUUGUCAGGGAGCAAAGGGCGCCACGUGUGGCGCUUUGCGAGUACCUGAAGAAAAAGCAUCGGCUAACUCCGUGCCAGCAGCCGCGGUAAUACGGAGGAUGCGAGCGUUAUCCGGAUUUAUUGGGUUUAAAGGGUGCGCAGGCGGAAUGUCAAGUCAGCGGUAAAAUUUCGGGGCUCAACCCCGUCGUGCCGUUGAAACUGGCGUUCUUGAGUGAGCGAGAAGUAUGCGGAAUGCGUGGUGUAGCGGUGAAAUGCAUAGAUAUCACGCAGAACUCCGAUUGCGAAGGCAGCAUACCGGCGCUCAACUGACGCUCAUGCACGAAAGCGUGGGUAUCGAACAGGAUUAGAUACCCUGGUA
RNAcentral lists this ribosomal RNA (464 nucleotides) under uncultured bacterium. Its description in RNAcentral is "bacterial SSU rRNA". It matches the Rfam family "Bacterial small subunit ribosomal RNA", at positions 330 to 792 of the family's 1533-position model. The record is from RNAcentral.